Molecule: long non-coding RNA, 250 nt
Organism: Dromiciops gliroides (monito del monte)
Lineage: Eukaryota; Metazoa; Chordata; Mammalia; Microbiotheria; Microbiotheriidae
Exons: 3
Source: RefSeq, a predicted model, not a curated record
CCAGGAAUGAAGGAUGCAGUGGUAUCAAGAGAAAUGGGAAGAAACAAAUUCUAUUCUGUAAUAUGGGAUUCAAAACAGAGAGACGAGGACUGUGGACCGUGGACUUCUCCUAUGGACUGUGGACUUCCCAUAUCCCUCUAGGAGGCAAUGAAGGUUAAGUGACUUACCCAGGGUCACACCUAUGACUCUCUCAGCCCUUCACGAGAUGCUUCUAACAUGGUUUCAAUCCCUUUCAUCUAAGAACCAAAGC